RNAcentral lists this ribosomal RNA (468 nucleotides) under uncultured bacterium. RNAcentral describes it as "partial 16S ribosomal RNA". It matches the Rfam family "Bacterial small subunit ribosomal RNA", at positions 28 to 507 of the family's 1533-position model. The record is from RNAcentral.
GACGAACGCUGGCGGCGUGCUAAAAACAUGCAAGUCGAACGGAAAGGCCCUGCUUUUGUGGGGUGCUCGAGUGGCGAACGGGUGGGUAACACGUGAGUAACCUGCCCUUGACUUUGGGGUAACUUCAGGAAACUGGGGCUAAUACCGGAUAGGAGCUCCUGCUGCAUGGUGGGGGUUGGAAAGUUUCGGCGGUUGGGGAUGGACUCGCGGCUUAUCUGCUUGUUGGUGGGGUAGUGGCUUACCAAGGCUUUGACGGGUAGCCGGCCUGAGAGGGUGACCGGCCACAUUGGGACUGAGAUACGGCCCAGACUCCUACGGGAGGCAGCAGUGGGGAAUAUUGCACAAUGGGCGGAAGCCUGAUGCAGCAACGCCGCGUGCGGGAUGACGGCCUUCGGGUUGUAAACCGCUUUCGCCGGUGACGAAGCGUGAGUGAAGGUAAUGGGUAAAGAAGCACCGGCUAACUACGUG